Molecule: RNA transcript, 1523 nt
Organism: Oncorhynchus keta (chum salmon)
Lineage: Eukaryota; Metazoa; Chordata; Actinopteri; Salmoniformes; Salmonidae
Gene name: serine/threonine-protein kinase Nek1-like
Exons: 12
Source: RefSeq, a predicted model, not a curated record
AAGAGCUUUCCACACCUCGCUUGUGCAACAUUUGCCCAUUUAUUUAUUUUUAAAGUUAUUCAAUGUCUGUCAAAUUGGUUGUUGAUCAUUGCUAGACAACCAUUUUCAGGUCUUGCCGUAGAUUUUCAAGUAGAUUUAAGUCAAAACUGUAACUCGGCCACUCAGGAACAUUCCCUGUCUUGCCCCAACAUGAGGAGUCAUCUGUUUCAGAGACAUGGAUAACUAUGAAAAGGUGAGGAAGAUAGGGAAAGGCUCCUUCGGGAAAGCAAUCCUCGUCAAAUCCAGGGACGAUGGAAAACAGUAUGUCAUCAAGGAGAUCGGCAUCUCCCGGAUGUCCAGUAAAGAGAGACAGGAGUCCCGGAAAGAGGUGGCUGUUCUGGCCAACAUGAGCCACGCCAACAUCAUCCAGUACAAAGAGUCCUUUGAAGAGUGUGGAUGUCUGUACAUCGUGAUGGAUUACUGUGAGGGAGGAGACCUAUUCACGAUGAUCAACUCUCAGAAAGGAGUGCAGUUCUCUGAGGAGCAGAUUAAGCAGAUCCAGGAUUGGUUCGUGCAGAUAUUGCCUCGCCCUGAAGCAUGUACAUGGCCGUAAGAUCCUCCACAGAGACAUCAAAUCGCAGUGCUGUGGAGCUGGCCAGGACAUGUAUCGGGAUGCCGUACUACCUGUCGCCUGAGAUUUGUGAAAACUAAACGUACAACAACAAAAGGAGUACCUAUCCCGGCUGAGGAAGUUCAGGCUACAGAACGUCAACGAGCGCCAGCAGAUCACAGCACGCCUCAUAGGAGAGAAGUAAGACAGUGAUGGCUCAGACAGCCAGGUGUCCUGUGAUGAGGCGGAGCCUAGGAGAAAGAAGAUUGAGGCCUUGAAGGCCCAAGCACAGGCCCGUGGAGCAGCUAGAGAAUAAGCGAAAAUAGGCGUAUGAGAGAGAAAAGAGAGCCUGGGAGGAUCAUCUUGCAGCUCGAGGCGUGAAGGUUGCCAUGGUAGCAGGAGGUGUAGCAAUAGCAGCAGCGGUAGCUCCUUCUCUAGAGCCUCCCCUUCAGCCUGGCCCCUCCCUCCCUGUACAGGACCCGGCAGCUAAAGCCCAGACUGCAUCCACAACCUCCACCCCUGCCAUCUCCAUGACUACUGCUCUGAAGGACAUGGAGUGAGAAGGAGAUUCCCUGUAGACUGAAUGAGAACCUGAAGGCCCAGAGCCCAGAGGAGGAGGUGUCAGCCACAGCCCCAGAAGGACAGUGCCCCGCCCCCCAGCAGAGCCAGCCUAUCACAGAGGAGUGACCGUCCUUUGGUGGGAACAGGAAGAAGUGGGAGGCUGGAGCUCCGUCGAUUCUCUCUGUAGCCCAGCAGACACCAGAAUAGACCUGUAUCAGAACGACUGGCUCGGUCUCCAGAAGAGAGAUUGUCCUCUGGUGGGGACAGGAAAAAAUGGGAGGCUGGACCUCCACCCAUUCUCUCCGUAGCUCAGCAGACCGUAGAGGACCGCUGGUGAAUAAACUACAUGCAUGCAUCCCAGGACAAUAUCUCC